AGUGAGUAGCUUGCUACGAACUGUUUUAGCGGCGGACGGGUGAGUAACGCGUGAGCAACCUUUCCCAGACAGGGGAAUAACAGUUGGAAACGACUGCUAAUACCGCAUAAGCGCACAGCUUCGCAUGAAGCAGUGUGAAAAACUCCGGUGGUACAAGAUGGACCCGCGUCUGAUUAGCUGGUUGGUGAGGUAACGGCCCACCAAGGCGACGAUCAGUAGCCGGCCUGAGAGGGUGAACGGCCACAUUGGGACUGAGACACGGCCCAAACUCC
RNAcentral lists this ribosomal RNA (272 nucleotides) under uncultured Eubacteriales bacterium. Its description in RNAcentral is "uncultured Clostridiales bacterium partial 16S ribosomal RNA". It matches the Rfam family "Bacterial small subunit ribosomal RNA", at positions 70 to 339 of the family's 1533-position model. RNAcentral also lists the same sequence under 1 other name. The record is from RNAcentral. Lineage: Bacteria; Bacillati; Bacillota; Clostridia; Eubacteriales.